GACGAACGCUGGCGGCGUGCUUAACACAUGCAAGUCGAACGGAAAGGCCCUGCUUUUGUGGGGUGCUCGAGUGGCGAACGGGUGAGUAACACGUGAGUAACCUGCCCUUGACUUUGGGAUAACUUCAGGAAACUGGGGCUAAUACCGGAUAGGAGCUCCUGCUGCAUGGUGGGGGUUGGAAAGUUUCGGCGGUUGGGGAUGGACUCGCGGCUUAUCAGCUUGUUGGUGGGGUAGUGGCUUACCAAGGCUUUGACGGGUAGCCGGCCUGAGAGGGUGACCGGCCACAUUGGGACUGAGAUACGGCGCAGACUCCUACGGGAGGCAGCAGUGGGGAAUAUUGCACAAUGGGCGGAAGCCUGAUGCAGCAACGCCGCGUGCGGGAUGACGGCCUUCGGGUUGUAAACCGAUGUCGCCUGUGACGAAGCGUGAGUGACGGUAAUGGGUAAAGAAGCACCGGCUAACUACGUG
This 468-nucleotide ribosomal RNA is filed under the name uncultured bacterium. Its description in RNAcentral is "partial 16S ribosomal RNA". It matches the Rfam family "Bacterial small subunit ribosomal RNA", at positions 28 to 507 of the family's 1533-position model. The record is from RNAcentral.